GCCCCGGGAGCUGGAGCCGAAGCGGGAUUCAGAGUGCCGGCCGGCGGUGAGGCCGGGGCAGCAGCUGGCGGCCGGGGUCAGGGCAAGAACCUGGACUGAGGCGGCGGGCGCUGCGUCCCUGCGAGAUGGACGGGACAGAAGGCAAUGCUGGGCAACCCGGCCCCGCUGAUCGGUCCCAUCGAAGCAGCGUGUCCUCCGUGGGAGCCCGAGCGGCCGACGUGCUGGUGUACCUGGCGGAUGACACCAUGGUGCCCCUGGCCGUGGAGAACCUGCCCUCGCUCACUGCCCACGAGCUGCAUCAGGCCGUCCGUGAGGUCCUGCAGCUCCCAGAUGUUGCCCUGGAUGCCUUUGCGCUCUGGCUUGUCUCCCCUCUGCUGGAGGUGCAGCUGAAGCCCAAGCACCAGCCCUACAAGCUGGGCCGCCAGUGGCAGGAACUGCUGCUGCGAUUCACCGACGCUCCGGACGAUGACGUGGCCAUGGAUGAGCCUUCCCUGCAGUUCCGGAGGAACGUGUUCUUCCCCAAACGGCGGGAGCUCCAGAUCCACGACAAGGAGGUCCUGCGGCUGCUCUACGAGGAGGCCAAGGGCAACGUGCUGGCCGCUCGGUACCCAUGCGACGUGGAGGACUGCGAGGCCCUGGGCGCCCUGGUGUGCCGCGUGCAGCUCGGGCCCUACCAGCCUGGCCAGCCCACGGCCUGUGCCCUGAGGGAGAAGCUGGACUCCUUCCUCCCUGCCCACCUCUGUAAGCGGGGCCACGGGCUCUUCGCUGCCCUCCGGGGCCGUGGGACCAAGGCUGGAACCGGCGAGCAGGGCCUGCUGAACGCCUACCGCAGGGUGAAGGAGGUGGCCGGCAGCGAGAGCCAGCACGAGGCCUCCCUCAGCCCCCACUACCGCGCCUACCUCCUCAAGUGCCACCAGCUGCCCUUCUACGGGUCUGCCUUCUUCCAUGGCGAGAUUGACAAGCCAGCCCAGGGCUUUUUGCACCGGGGCGGGCAAAAGCCAGUGUUUGUGGCCAUCAGUCUGGAGGGCGUGCACGUCAUUGACAGCAGGGAGAAGCACGUCCUGCUGGGCCUGCGCUUCCAGGAGCUGUCGUGGGACCACACCUCUGCCGAGGAGGAGGAGUCUGUCCUGUGGCUGGAGUUCGACGGGGACAAUGAGGGCACACCGGUCAACAAGCUCCUCAAGAUCUACUCCAAGCAGGCCGAACUGAUGAGCAGCCUCAUCGAGUACUGCAUCGAGUUGAGCCAGGCCGCGGAGCCUGCCGCCCCCCAGGAGAGCGCGGCCGACCCCGCCGCGGCCCCUGGCUCCUCGCCACCGCCCACGCAACACCCCCAGCUGCGGAGGCAGGGCAGCGUGGUGUGCAGCCGGAUCCAGCAUCUCUCCACCAUCGACUACGUGGAGGAGGCUUAUGGGAUCUUGGUUUCCUGACCAUGGAUUGAACCCGUCCCCCGUUCUGUGGAAGUACAGAGUCCUAACCACUGGACCGCCAGGGAAGUCCCUCACCCCUCUUCUCCUGUCUCCUGGGUCCUUUCUCGGGCUGAUGUGUGUUCGGAAACAACAGAGCUGAGCUAGCUUCAGAACAAGAAUGGGAGGUGACCAUGGCUGUGAGAAAAGGCUUGGAGCCUGGGUCCUGACCCUGAAAUCUGGAUGUUGCCCAAGAGGUCCUUCCUCUCCUCCUCCCCACUCCAACCCUGAGCCCUUUAGUGGGCUGCCCAGGAAGGAGCAGGCUUCCGCCACCCACCAGGGUGGGGUAGACCUAUCACCACCCAGCCCCACCCAGGGAACCAAGGUCCUCUUGUUUACUGCUGUUUACUGGAACAGCUUGUCUUGAUCUAGAAAAAUCUGCUGACGCACUGGCUGCCCUGCCCUUCCCCUCUGUCAGGGUGGAAGUAUUUUUAGCCCCAUUUGCAGAGAAAGAGGCAGAACCCAAGCCCCACAUUUAUCCACCUUACUCACAGGCUCCAGACGUGCAGGCUCAGCGGCCAUGGCUCACGGGCCCAGCCGCUCCGCGGCACGUGGGAUCUUCCCGGAGCGGGGCACAAAACCGUAUCCCCUGCAUCGGCAGGCGGACUCUCAACCACGGCGCCACCAGGGAAGCCCCUCAUCAAGUAUUCUUACCCAGCAGGGAUAACUUUUCUGAGGAAAUACUUCAAGCCUCCAAGCCCCUGGUAACAGAGAAUAACAAAGCCACAACACACGCCCCUCAAGCUACCAAGCAGCAACGCGGUGGCUUAACUUUUUAAAAUUUAUUUUUGGAUGCGCUGGGUCUCGGUUGCUGCACACGGGCUUUCUCUAGUUGCGGCGAGCGGGGGCUACUCUGCUGCGGUGCGCAGGCUUCUCAUUAAGGUGGCUUCUCUUGUUGCAGAACAUAGGCCCUAGGUGCGCGGGCUUCAGUAGUUGUGGCACGUGGGCUCAGCAGUUGUGGCGCACGGGCUCUAGAGAGCAGGCUCAGUAGUUGUGGCACACGGGCUUAGUUGCUCCGCGGCAUGUGGGAUCUUCCAGGACCAGGGAUCAAACCCGUGUCCCCUGCAUUGGCAGCCGGAUUCUUAACCACUGCGCCACCAGGGAAGCCUGGGGCUUAACUUUUAAAUGAACUUUUAAAAUUAAAAAUCACAGCACGGUUUCUUAACCAGAGACACUAAGCUCAGCUACGGGUGCGGCUACCCGUAGGAGUGUGCCUGGAUCCAGCUUCGCGGAGCUCAGGCCGCCCCACCCCCACUCCCCACCGCAACCGGCGCGCCCGCCUCAGCACUGACAUCACAGGCGCUCACGAGGCCCAGCCGACGCCCGAGGAGUCACGCGCCUCCGCCCCACCCCCACCCCGCCGCGGCGAGUGAUGCGCCCUCUGCAGAAAUCCCUCCGCCGCCACCUGGAAUUUUCCAGACGCUCUGCCGGCCCUUCUUCCGGGCUUCUUCUGGGCGGGGUGACCUGAGGCGAUCCCAGAAGUUCCUUUCGACUCGAGAGAGCAGCCCCAGCCCGCCUCCGCUAUCUAGCCCCCCCUCUCCAGGACCCGGAUGCCUCCCCACCCCUGGCACCAUCACCGGCCGAAAAGAGGACUUACUCCCCUCUCCCUGUUGGAAUCCGCCUCCCCAAGUGACCUUGAGAUCUGUCGUCGAUCUCAGGAAGCACUUGCUAAGGAGAGUGGGGGAUCAUUGGGGAAUCUGAGAAAGUGGACACCCCGGAAGGGCGGGAGCCGCCCCGAAUCGUCUCCUUGGCCAGGGUAGGGGAGGAACUUUUUUCCGGUGGCAGUGGAGGAGUCGUCCCGUUGAGCAAUGCCCCGGACAGAGGGUUGUGAACCCGCCUGGGGAUGAGGCCUGGUGUUGUGGAAACUGAACUUAGCUUCGCGGGGCUGACAGUUCUGGCCCAGGGCGGUAUGUAAUUCUGGCUCGGCCUGGGACAGGGUCCAGCCAGGCCCAGCUGGGUGGAACCCAGGUCUGGGUGUGAGGGUGGUCUAGGGAGUGAUGGAGGUCAGUUGCCAUCUUGAGCGGUUACUGGUAUGGCGCCUCGUGUAUCUGACAGGCGGGAGCUGUAGGCAGACAAAAUUGACGCCCCCUUUAUUUUCCAGGUGGCAGUGCACCCCUUUGGACUUUUCCUCUAGGUUCCGUGCUUACCUCUUCUGUGACCUCACUCUGCCCCUCCUCCUCCCUCUAACUCUCUCGACGUUACCCCUUCACUUAAAACGUUGCUUCUGGUAAUCUGUGUUCAUCAUGGCAAGCUGAUGGCACCAGGAGAAAUGGAGCCCCUGGCCAGUGUGAGUCGUAGCAGUGCAGGAGGGGAGACCCUGGAGGAGGAGAGAGCCCGCCUAAAUUGAUGUCUACAGUUGAAUUUCCAGAGGCUUAGGAGGAGGAGUUCUCCAAUGUCCUGUUUCCAGGCCUUGCUCAGGAAGCCCUGUAUUCAUUCAGGAGACCAUCCUUUAAGGUUUUCAGAUGAGCUUAUGAGGGGGCAAUCUUUAAAAGUGCAAAGCAGAUGCAUCCGGGGCCUUCAGCAGAUGUGUUGCUCUGAGUGUGUAAUCCGGGAGCAGCGAUCUCUGGGCACGUGAAUGUCAGCAGGCACCUCUCCCGUUCUGGGGUGGAGGUUUUCAGAUGCUGCAUCUUCUAAAUUCAGCCUCCUGUUGUACUAGUUCUGUGCUACGAACCUUGCUUCCAGAGGACUCUUAAGCUGUAGAACGUUUUAACGCGAUGCCACAACACAGAAUGCUGCCUUGUAGAUGGAGCUUGCAGAUGGAUCCCAGGGACCCUCUCAUCUACCUGCCUGCCUUCCUGUGCAUUGGUCGGAGGAAUUCUUAGUGUGAUGAUACAAUCUGUGUGUUGGGAAAGUGUUCAAGAUUGAAAUGCUUUAGGCAAAUACUUAAAUGAGCCAACUGGCAAGUUGAGGGGGGUCAUUGUACUGUGCUGGAGGUACGAGUUGGUCAUGCCCAAAUUGUGAUAGAAAUGGCAGGUCUAGUUUGGGCAUUCCUACUAAGAAGGGAGUGGUUAGGGUACCGAUAGUGAUCUUUGAUUCAUCUUGCUCUAUGUGUUUUUUAACUUCAAUUGUACUUGAUCAGAUUUCAGAGUAAUCUUAGUGUUCAAAUGGGAGGACCCUGAGGUGAGGUGUGGUGGGGAGGGAAAAGCCUGCCGCAGGUGCUGGGAGGGGUGGGCGCGAAGAAAGGGAGAAGGGGAGAGGGUUGUGGUUAGGUGUGGGUUGUAGAGGAUGGGAGUGGUAGGGAAUGUGGGUUGAAGGGAAUUCUCUGGAGAAAAGAUCAGUGGGCAGAGCUCAUGGGCGAAGAAAAUACUAGUUAAUAGUGAAUUGUUAAUGCUAGUUAAAUUAUCGCUUGGAAGCACAAAAAAAAGUUGCUCGGAAAUUUUCUCAAAUGCUUAGAACUCUGCUAAUUGCAGGGGAAAAAGCAAAAUUGUUUUGCUUUGCUGCAAGCUGGGGAAGACUGAAAAGGUAACUGAAGACCUGGUUAUCGGUGGCUUGAAAGACUGGUGUCAGCAACUCGCAUCAGCAGGUUAACAUCCUUCACUGCUUUCAAGCUUCUUACGUGGUUUAUCUGGAGAUGUGUGGUAUUUGGGAGAGGUCUUCGAAAAGACUUUGAAUACCCAUAUUGUGGGCUUUUAAAGUACGCUUGAGAUUUUGGAGCGCACUCAAGAUGGUGAGAUGUACUCUGCUGGGUUUGCAACAUUUUGUUUCACCGAGGUUUUGCAGUUGAAAACUUGAGCAAAGUGAAAAUGCAAUGAUUUCUAAAGGAAUUUUGGGUUACUUCCUGCCUUCUAAGCACAUCUCUUCUUUGUAAUGAGUACUAGAAACAGCAAGAGUUUUUACUUUUCGUCGUCACUGUAACAAGGAGAACCUAAUGACUUUUUGUGAUCACUGUAAAAUUACUGUAAUAUUUGGUAGCAAACAAUCCAUGUAGGCUUACUAAGGUUACAGUUAGUAAUCCACUGUAUCUUUAGUUUGAAUGUUUGUGGUUUUUUAAGUGAUAACCGUACUAGAGGGGAAACUGUCAGCCAAAAUCAGUUUGGGAAAUAAGCAAAACUGGGGAUGGGGAGGUGCUUUAUUACUAGAUUAUGGUCUGUUUGUGAAAAUUCAGUGAAAGAUCUGAAUCCUCUGUGAUAAAGUAAUACCAGUGGCUUUUUUAUCAUGUCCCUCUUCCCACUGAAUUUCACUUUGAAAAAUUUAAAUCCCCAAUAUUUAUACACUUGGGAUCUUUAUAGGUUCUCUUUUUAAUGUUUAAAAAUACGUUGACAUGAUAGUUCAGCUCUUAACCCGGGAUUUGGGCGUGAUACAGUAACUGUCAUUGCAAUUUAAAGAAUACUAGUCAUGCAUGUGUGGGGGAGUGUGUUCCGGUAAGCUGUUGUGAAACUGAAACUGUAAAAGUAGGAGGAAAAAGUACUUUUAUGUUGCUCUGUAUGGGAAGAACCAGUCUUGUUACACCGUGUAUGUGACUGCUAAUCAUUUUUCUUCCCCUUUACAGCGUGAAUAAAGGUUUGAGUUCUAAACUCA
Physeter macrocephalus (sperm whale) is the source of this 5981-nucleotide RNA transcript. It is a transcript of the gene named FERM domain containing 8, with no coding region annotated. The transcript is spliced from 14 exons. Lineage: Eukaryota; Metazoa; Chordata; Mammalia; Artiodactyla; Physeteridae. The record is from RefSeq and is a predicted model, not a curated record.